GGCUGUGCCUCAGUGGUGGAGCGCUCCCUUAGCAUGCGUGGGGCACUGGGUUCGAUCCUCAGCACCA
This 67-nucleotide transfer RNA is filed under the name Marmota monax (woodchuck). Its description in RNAcentral is "tRNA.Ala". Lineage: Eukaryota; Metazoa; Chordata; Mammalia; Rodentia; Sciuridae. The record is from RNAcentral.